RNAcentral lists this ribosomal RNA (305 nucleotides) under uncultured bacterium. Its description in RNAcentral is "partial 16S ribosomal RNA". It matches the Rfam family "Bacterial small subunit ribosomal RNA", at positions 508 to 807 of the family's 1533-position model. The record is from RNAcentral.
ACAGCAGUCGCCGCGGUAAUACGGAGGGAGCUAGCGUUGUUCGGAAUUACUGGGCGUAAAGCGCACGUAGGCGGUUUAUCAAGUCAGAGGUGAAAGCCCGGGGCUCAACCCCGGAACUGCCUUUGAAACUAGUAGACUUGAAUCUUGGAGAGGUCAGUGGAAUUCCGAGUGUAGAGGUGAAAUUCGUAGAUAUUCGGAAGAACACCAGUGGCGAAGGCGACUGACUGGACAAGUAUUGACGCUGAGGUGCGAAAGCGUGGGGAGCAAACAGGAUUAGAUACCCGCGUAGUCCCUGUCUCUUAUAC